RNAcentral lists this long non-coding RNA (955 nucleotides) under Equus caballus (horse). Its description in RNAcentral is "lncRNA (ENSECAG00000052815.1)". The record is from RNAcentral. Lineage: Eukaryota; Metazoa; Chordata; Mammalia; Perissodactyla; Equidae.
GUACUAAAACAGGGAACUUUUUCCUUUUUUCCAUGACUUCUCUGUCAACAUGUGAUCUUGUUUAUUUCCUCUUUAAUGCUAUGCUCCCUAAGACACAGGAAUGCUUGGAGACUAAGAGCAGACCUUCAGAAACACCUGGGCUUGCCUGUCCACCUUGGGUUGUGAUGGUGGGCCUGGAAGAAGGGGACAUGUCUGGCUCAACUUCCCUUCCUCCAUCUGGGCACAGCACGUCAGUCUGGCAGCCAGGGGGAGGGGGCAUCUGGCAGCCAGUGCGCUGCAUGCAGGCACUAAGUCUCGGAGUGGAGAUUACAAGAUCCUGUACUCCUGAACGUCUUCCCUGGAAAACUUCUUCCUGGGAUGUGGGCCCCCAGGCAACACCAUCGAGUUGAAGGGUUCUAUAACCGAAGGGACUUCUGGACCAGUGAGCUCAGCUCUUUGCCUAAGAGGGAGAAAAGGGAGCUCCACAGUCAUAGCUGGUCCACCAUGGUGCUGGUGCGCUGUCUUGGCCUCCUUCUCACAUGCCAGUGCUCUUCCUAUCCUGACCUCCAUAGAGGGACCUUUUCUCCUUGGAACUACCUGAGGUUCAGGUAGGUCCCCCCAGCUGAGCAGAAUACUAAAUAAGGCCGCAAAGAUGAGGAUGAAAGCCUGCAGGUUCAGGAUGGUGGGAAAGAUGGCAUUGGAACAAACGGUAACAUCUAGCAAGCAGUUUGCAUCGACUCUGCACGACAACCAAAAUAUGCUGUGUUGUCCAAAUGAAAAUUCUCCAAAAUAAUGACAUCAAGAUCAAACCAAGAUAAAGAGCUGGCAUCAUUAUACUUGACAGGCAUAUACAGUACUUAUGCUGAAAUUGAAAUGAUCAAAACUAACCUCAUGGAAAAAUGUAAGCACCCAAAGGUUGUAAGAAAAGUCAUACAAAUCAAAUUUAUAAAGCAAAUAAAUCAAAUUUAUAAAGCAA